UACGUAGGGUGCAAGCGUUGUCCGGAAUUAUUGGGCGUAAAGAGCUCGUAGGCGGUUUGUCGCGUCUGCUGUGAAAAUCCAGGGCUUAACCCUGGACCUGCAGUGGGUACGGGCAGACUGGAGUGCGGUAGGGGAGAUCGGAAUUCCUGGUGUAGCGGUGAAAUGCGCAGAUAUCAGGAGGAACACCGGUGGCGAAGGCGGCUCACUGGACCGGAACUGACGCUGAGGCGCGAAAGCGUGGGGAGCAAACAGG
RNAcentral lists this ribosomal RNA (253 nucleotides) under uncultured bacterium. Its description in RNAcentral is "partial 16S ribosomal RNA". It matches the Rfam family "Bacterial small subunit ribosomal RNA", at positions 524 to 776 of the family's 1533-position model. The record is from RNAcentral.